Molecule: long non-coding RNA, 649 nt
Filed under: Fukomys damarensis (Damara mole-rat)
Lineage: Eukaryota; Metazoa; Chordata; Mammalia; Rodentia; Bathyergidae
Description: lncRNA (ENSFDAG00000030113.1)
Source: RNAcentral
GUGCUGCAAGUUUUAAUUGAAUACUUUAGAUAGGAUCCCAAUCUAAAAAGCCUUAAAUUAGGCAAAUACGAAACUAGAGAAGAAAAACAAAUGUUAACAAACCCUUAUAGACCAGUUCUUCUCAAAGUUUGAUGUGCAUUCAAGUCAGCUGGCGUCAGGUUGAAGACCAGGCCCGAGCAGCGUGUGGGAUUCUGCCUCACUAACAGAAAUCCAAGUGAUGUUGACAUCUCUUGGCCCUGUAACAUACUUUGAAGAGUAUCUUCACUCACAGUACCAAGGAAAGCUCAAGAUCCGUUGGCUGGCAUCCAAGGCCUUUGUCAUUCUAAACCUCCACCCACACAUCCUGCUCCAGUUCCCAACCUGUCCUCCAGACUGCACUACAGCUAGAGGAAACACCCAAAAUACCAGGUACCAAAGCCCCCUGUCUCCUUGUGUGUGUUCUGCCUCAUGCAUGCCUUCUGUGCUUCUUCCCAUAGCAAUCCAAGAAUGCCUCAUUAUCACCUCUCUAUUUACAAUGAAACCUGAUGAUCUUGUCUGGGUCCAUUCAAAACACUACCGGGAUCCAUACAGUUCAGCUCAGUCCCAGCACACAACUGGCUCUCAGUGCAGGUUUUAGGUGAAUGCACUAAAGAAACUGUGACAAUUAAUA